Molecule: long non-coding RNA, 1057 nt
Organism: Tigriopus californicus
Lineage: Eukaryota; Metazoa; Arthropoda; Copepoda; Harpacticoida; Harpacticidae
Exons: 3
Source: RefSeq, a predicted model, not a curated record
AUUGGCCACUGUCCUGUAAGGAUCUAAGUGAAAGCCCUAACAUUUGGAAGAAAGUAGAGUUUUUUCAGGUCAAUUUAAUGGAAAACGACGAUCACAAAAAGUCGCUGGUAUGCUACAGCACAACAAUGAAUGAGACCAAUGUGGCUUUCCAAGAUCCUUCGGAUACAAGCAACCCAUUCAGCAGGGGAUCCCCGAAGCGAAUUGGAGGGGUUGGUGGAAGUCACCUGUUUACUUUUGUGUCCUACGACCAGGGCAGUAUCUGUAGCGACUUUCAUGUUUGUCUAAGAACUCGCUUACAUUGCCAGACCAGGUAAUAACUUGAUGAUGCUUCAGCUUGCACUUCAUUUGAAUUCUAUAUAUUAUUUUAUUCUAUGUUACUCGCCAAUACUCUUCUUCCAUCCUUUGGGUGAUCUGAGUGGCAUGCACAAUAAACAACAAUAAACAAUAAACAUUGAUAUGAUAAUGCGGCCAGAUUGGAAAAUUAUCACUUAUUUGCUCCCGGUGUGCUCAACAACUCCUUUCGCAUUUGAUUUGCCGGGCGCCUCGAACAACUAACCGGGUUCCGGACUGGUGUCAGAGGUCGUUUGCCAAUUUCUGGGAAAAGACAUGUGGCCCCGUUCUUCUCCACACCUGAUCAUGAUGGACUUUGCCGUAGAGGAAGGUGGGUCAAACGUACCACAACAACAAGGAGGCCUUGGAGGCCAGGAUCAACGAGGCGUGGGCCAACUUGUCCUCGGAUGUGGUCCAUGCCAGGUGCAAGACGUUCAGGAAGAAGCUGGAUGGAGUCAUUAAGGCUAAAGGAGGCUAUAUCGAAUAAAUCACGCCCAUUCUUAUGCAUUCAAGGUCGUCGAUUUUUUUGUAGAUGCGAUGAUACGAACUAUGCAACUACCUAUCGGAACAAUAUAAGGUGACGGCUAGCUUCUCUGGCCGGGCGAGGCUCAUCCCUCCCACCCUAGCACCCAAAAAAAUUCACUGCAUUUUGGUAUUUAAAUCAUACAAAGACUUAUGCGCCACCCUGUUUAUAACUAUGACAGAAAUAAAAAUGAACUCUUUCAUC